CGGCCACAUCACGUUGAAAACCGGUUCCCGUACGAUCUCCGAAGUUAAGCAAUGUCGAGACUUGUAAGUACCUAGAUUGGUAACCGUUUGUGAAUACAAGGUGAUGUAA
Acanthosepion pharaonis is the source of this 109-nucleotide non-coding RNA. The record is from the annotation of a GenBank genome assembly. Lineage: Eukaryota; Metazoa; Mollusca; Cephalopoda; Sepiida; Sepiidae.